Molecule: transfer RNA, 64 nt
Filed under: Prymnesium parvum
Lineage: Eukaryota; Haptophyta; Prymnesiales; Prymnesiaceae
Rfam family: tRNA
About the family: Transfer RNA (tRNA) molecules are approximately 80 nucleotides in length. Their secondary structure includes four short double-helical elements and three loops (D, anti-codon, and T loops).
Source: RNAcentral
GUAAUAGUUUAAAGGUUAAAGCGCUAGUUUGUCAAAUUAGUAAUGUAGGUUCAAGUCCUUCUUA